AUGAACCCAAAGCAGACUGUUUCUCCUCCUGCAGCAGUUGGCUGGCGCUGUUCCCUUGGAUGGGACAUGUGUUUUCUGCUCACUGGUCCUCACCAGUCUGCUUCUCUGGAAUGUGACCCUGGGUUUGAGUCACAGGUUGUGGUUGGGAUGAACUAUUUCCUGGAAGUGGAGAUGGGCCGAACCAGAUGCACCAAGUCCAAGCCCAACUUGGAGAGCUGUCCCUUUCAUGUGCACCUAGACCUGCUGAAGGUAUGUGCCCCGUGGGGGCAGCCAAGCAGGGCAGAGAGGUGGGGGUGAGCCUGUGUCUUUGAAGUGCAUCCUGUGUGAGAGCACUGGUGGUAUGGGCGUGCAGGUGCUGGGAUACAAGUGGGAGGGGGCAUAUGUGUACAUGUGACUGAGUUGAGCUAAUAAUGGGAAUUUAGCUUGGAAAAUUGAAGCUCCAAGUGCUUUGGGAAUUUUUGCCUGUGGAACAGAGGAAGCAGCUAUAGGGCUUUGCUAGGGAGAGGGAGAUGGGCCUUUCAUCCCAGUCUCAGCUGCCUGAAAAGACUGGAGGAAAUUAGAGACCUGUAUGGAGUAGAAACCCUCUGACGCUGCCCUGUUCAGCAAAUACUGUCUACUCCAUGGGCCUGGCUCAUUCUUGGGGAUCUUGGCCAAAGUCCCACUUCUCUUGUCCCCUUGCCCCCAUACCCUCCUCCUUUGUGUGUUUCCUUGCUCUGAAACAGCUCCUGUGCCCUCCCCUAUACACCCGUCCUAGUGUAGGCAGACUGGAGGUCAGGGAACAUCAGAGCAGUGUCCUGUCCCUGGAGGGCUCUGUGGCCUUGCAUGGACAACCCCUAAAAGGGCUGUGGUGGGGCACUGACCAUGUGGAAACUUAUGAGUGUGGACUGGGGACAGGAUGCUAUCUCUGAUAGCAUGCUCUAGCAUGACAGGAUGCUAGAGCCUUGGUGGAGUUACUGAGAGGUCACUGUAGAGCCCUACUUAGCAUUCUGAGGCUCAGCAGGGUAGAGGCUGAGAGUCUCACCACCACCCUUCCUCACCUGCACUUCUGACUUCUCCAGGCUGAGUUUUUUCCUUUUUCACUGUAAUCCUAAUUAUCUGUCUGUCUCUUCUUUCACAGAAAAAGCUCUGCUCUUUCCAGAUACACAUUGUGCCCUGGAUGGGCACGACCUCCUUGGUGAAGUCCAGCUGCCAGGAUACAUAGAAGACUCUGACAAGCCCCUUCUCAUUAUCAUCCCCCCUCCUUAUAAAGCUGCUACACUUUAUAAUGGUGACCCUGCCCAGGGGUCCCCAUCGGUGUGCUAGUCCCAGGCAACAAAGAAAGGUUCUGGGGCUUUUCUGAACAGCUUAGUGGCUCUACGCACUUUCUUUUCAUUACUCUCCAAAUCACCAGAAGCAGUGUACAUGUCCUGCUCUAUGUUAAUCAAUAAAUACUAACAUCAGGCACCUUUUGAGUUGUUCACUGUCUUGGGAAUAUGCACAGAAGAACGGUUUGGGCAAUGCUUUUAAGAGUCCCUAGUCCCAAGGCUCUAGAGAGCAGAGGAGGAACUGAGAGCUGAAAGAACCCUGAUGAGGUCGUGAGGGGAGUGUGCUGCCACUUUUUGGAAUGAUUGAGUAAAGAGAACGCUAGGAACCCAGAUCUUCAGUUGUGGUGCUCCUGAUGAUCACAUAGGAGAGAAAGAGACCUAGGCUGCCCCUCCUGGAGAUUUGUGCUAUAAAAGGAAGUCAGAUGGUGAGCAGACUGCACAGGAGGGAGGGAUGGAUGGAGCCCAUAGACCAGAGCCACCCUGGCAGGGCUAUGCCAGGCACAGAUUUUAGCCAUGUGUGCUUAGCUCAUCACACUCCUGAGGCUGAUUUUCACUGGUAAAAUAUGCAAAAUAAACGGAUUUAGGUCUACCUCUUUCCACAAAAGACGUCAGGCACCUACAGUAGACAAAAACUAAAAGUAUAUGUCUGUUUAUGUAACUAUUAGGGAAAUACCAAUCAGAAUUAAGGUCAGUCAAGGCCACAGUCAGGAGUUACAUUAGAAAGAGUAGAAGCACUCCACGUCACUUUCUCAAGAGUAUGUCCUUGGAGCUGCCUCCAGGAAAUACAAGGGGACCACAUAUCCACAAACAGGGAUAGGGAUAUGGAGCCUUUUGAGUACUCAGGUUCUGGUCACUGGUUAAUCCAUGGUCUUUCCUUUUUUGAUGACAUGUCCCAACACUCCACCCUCAUGGACCACUCUUAAAAUCUCACAGCCCCUUCUUCAGCAGCAGGCACUGAGCUGUUAACAAGAGGUUUUACUAGCCUGCAUGUGACUCUUUUGGUGGCUCUCUGGCUGCACUGGAGGCAGAUGCCAUAGCAAAAAUAAAGGCACAUGCAAGACAAAACACAUUUAAG
RNAcentral lists this long non-coding RNA (2379 nucleotides) under Canis lupus familiaris (dog). Its description in RNAcentral is "lncRNA (ENSCAFG00030022185.1)". Lineage: Eukaryota; Metazoa; Chordata; Mammalia; Carnivora; Canidae. The record is from RNAcentral.